UUGCCACUAGUCAUACGCUCGUGUCAAAAAUUAAACCACGCACAUGUCACUAUAAAAUUUUGCACACAGAAAAUGCGAAAAGGUCACUAUAACACAUAUAAAUUUUGUGGUGUUCAAUUUUACACGGGUACCCGUGGCAAUUUUAGAGAUAAUACACGCUUUUUUGCUUGACUCUGUGGUAAGAUUGUGUUUAUUAGUACCACAACCACAUCAAAAUCUGCUUGGGUGCAUCACAAAUCUUAAUAAAAAAACGGAGUGCACACUUCACCUCUCACAGUAGCACAUAAGUUUCUGACCCAUCAGCUUCUCACACUAAAAUAUUGGCUUACCGUGGCAAAAACACGUAACAGGGAAAUAGGGUUCGAUUCUCGAGAGAGAGCCCGAGAAAAGGCUACCACAUAUAAGGAAGGCAGCAGGCGCGCAAAUUACCCAAUCUUGAUACAGGGAGGUAGUGACACGAAAUAACAAUGCCCACCUUAUUAAUUCUGGCAAUUGGAAUGAGAACAACUUAAACCCCUUAUCGAGGACCAAUUGGAGGGCAAGUCUGGUCC
RNAcentral lists this ribosomal RNA (551 nucleotides) under uncultured eukaryote. RNAcentral describes it as "bacterial SSU rRNA". It matches the Rfam family "Eukaryotic small subunit ribosomal RNA", at positions 14 to 567 of the family's 1831-position model. The record is from RNAcentral.